RNAcentral lists this ribosomal RNA (440 nucleotides) under uncultured Staphylococcus sp. RNAcentral's name for it is "bacterial SSU rRNA". It matches the Rfam family "Bacterial small subunit ribosomal RNA", at positions 954 to 1393 of the family's 1533-position model. The record is from RNAcentral. Lineage: Bacteria; Bacillati; Bacillota; Bacilli; Caryophanales; Staphylococcaceae.
UUUAAACGCGAAGAACCUUACCAAAUCUUGACAUCCUUUGAAAACUCUAGAGAUAGAGCCUUCCCCUUCGGGGGACAAAGUGACAGGUGGUGCAUGGUUGUCGUCAGCUCGUGUCGUGAGAUGUUGGGUUAAGUCCCGCAACGAGCGCAACCCUUAAGCUUAGUUGCCAUCAUUAAGUUGGGCACUCUAGGUUGACUGCCGGUGACAAACCGGAGGAAGGUGGGGAUGACGUCAAAUCAUCAUGCCCCUUAUGAUUUGGGCUACACACGUGCUACAAUGGACAAUACAAAGGGCAGCUAAACCGCGAGGUCAUGCAAAUCCCAUAAAGUUGUUCUCAGUUCGGAUUGUAGUCUGCAACUCGACUACAUGAAGCUGGAAUCGCUAGUAAUCGUAGAUCAGCAUGCUACGGUGAAUACGUUCCCGGGUCUUGUACACACCGA